This is a long non-coding RNA of Nycticebus coucang (slow loris), 641 nucleotides long. RefSeq lists it as uncharacterized. The transcript is spliced from 3 exons. Lineage: Eukaryota; Metazoa; Chordata; Mammalia; Primates; Lorisidae. The record is from RefSeq and is a predicted model, not a curated record.
UCCACCUGCCUCGGCCUCCCAGAGUGUUAGGAUUACACGUGUGAGCCACUGCACCCAGCCCUCAUAUUACUUUUCUUACAGGGAAAUACAGUGAGUUAUUUGAAGUUUUCUGUACCCAUUCUUCUUUGAAGUUGCUGGACCUGAUGGUAGCCAAGACAGGUUCAUUGAGGGUGCAGAGAAUUAGGUUACACUCUUUAAAUUUGUGAGAACAUCUUAUACUUGCUACCACUGUGCUGAAGAUGAUGAUAAGAGGAUGACGAUGAUGAGUACCAUUUAUCGAGCCAUUCACAGAUUAUCUCAAGCUUCACAAAGGCAGGUGCUGUGUCUGUUGUUCACCAUGGGAUUCCAUUGUUCAGCACUAUGAAGCUCUUGGUCAUUACUUAUUAAAUAAACAAAACCUUUGACGGGUGAUGUGGCAUUGUCCCCAUUUUAGGAAACUGAGGCUUAAGCGGUUAAAGCACUAAACUGUUACAUGGUAGCAGAAUUCGGUAGUGUCCUCCUGGCUUCCAAGCUGUGCAUUUCACUCCAUUCCCCCUCUCACUACUGCUCCUUUGGGCCUUUGACCUCUUGUCCGGGGUUUGGCAGUCAGAACUCCCUUCAGGAUUUAGUUGACAUUUCAUCACCCGAAGCUUCCCUAAACA